Molecule: ribosomal RNA, 464 nt
Filed under: uncultured bacterium
Lineage: Bacteria
Description: partial 16S ribosomal RNA
Rfam family: Bacterial small subunit ribosomal RNA
Source: RNAcentral
CCUACGGGAGGCAGCAGUAGGGAAUUUUCGGCAAUGGGGGGAACCCUGACCGAGCAACGCCGCGUGAAGGAAGAAGGAAUUCGUUCUGUAAACUUCUGUUAUAAAGGAAGAAAGACGGAUGGAGGAAAUGACAUCCGAGUGACGGUACUUUAUGAGAAAGCCACGGCUAACUACGUGACAGCAGCCGCGGUAAUACGUAGGUGGCAAGCGUUAUCCGGAAUUAUUGGGCGUAAAGAGGGAGCAGGCGGCAGCAAAGGUCUGUGGUGAAAGAGUGAAGCUUAACUUCAGUAAGCCAUAGAAACCGGGCAGCUAGAGUGCAGGAGAGGCACGUGGAAUUCCAUGUGUAGCGGUGAAAUGCGUAGAUAUAUGGAGGAACACCAGUGGCGAAGGCGACGAUCUGGCCUGCAACUGACGCUCAGUCCCGAAAGCGUGGGGAGCAAAUAGGAUUAGAUACCCUUGUAGUC